RNAcentral lists this ribosomal RNA (515 nucleotides) under Listeria monocytogenes. Its description in RNAcentral is "bacterial SSU rRNA". It matches the Rfam family "Bacterial small subunit ribosomal RNA", at positions 446 to 952 of the family's 1533-position model. Lineage: Bacteria; Bacillati; Bacillota; Bacilli; Caryophanales; Listeriaceae. The record is from RNAcentral.
AGAACAAGGAUAAGAGUAACUGCUUGUCCCUUGACGGUAUCUAACCAGAAAGCCACGGCUAACUACGUGCCAGCAGCCGCGGUAAUACGUAGGUGGCAAGCGUUGUCCGGAUUUAUUGGGCGUAAAGCGCGCGCAGGCGGUCUUUUAAGUCUGAUGUGAAAGCCCCCGGCUUAACCGGGGAGGGUCAUUGGAAACUGGAAGACUGGAGUGCAGAAGAGGAGAGUGGAAUUCCACGUGUAGCGGUGAAAUGCGUAGAUAUGUGGAGGAACACCAGUGGCGAAGGCGACUCUCUGGUCUGUAACUGACGCUGAGGCGCGAAAGCGUGGGGAGCAAACAGGAUUAGAUACCCUGGUAGUCCACGCCGUAAACGAUGAGUGCUAAGUGUUAGGGGGUUUCCGCCCCUUAGUGCUGCAGCUAACGCAUUAAGCACUCCGCCUGGGGAGUACGACCGCAAGGUUGAAACUCAAAGGAAUUGACGGGGGCCCGCACAAGCGGUGGAGCAUGUGGUUUAAUUC